Molecule: ribosomal RNA, 497 nt
Filed under: uncultured bacterium
Lineage: Bacteria
Description: partial 16S ribosomal RNA
Rfam family: Bacterial small subunit ribosomal RNA
Source: RNAcentral
GAUGAACGCUGGCGGCGUGCCUAAUACAUGCAAGUCGAGCGAACAGACGAGAAGCUUGCUCUCUUACCGUUAGCGACUGACGGGCGGGUAAGAAGUGGAUCAGCAUCUACUUUGACUGGGAGAAUUACGGAAAAAAGGAGAUACUAAUAGCUAAUAUAUCCUACGGGUUGAAUCAGUAGUGCUUGACGCCUUUGCUGAUUCUAUUAGCCGGAGUCGGGUCGCAUUAGCUAGUUGGUAAGGUAACGGCAAACCAAGGCGACGAUGCGUAGCUGACCUGAGAGGGUGAUCAGCCACACUGGAACUGAGACACGGUCCAGACUCCUACGGGAGGCAGCAGUAGGGAAUCUUCCGCAAUGGGCGAAAGCCUGACGGAGCAACACCGCGUGAGUGAAGAAGGCCUUCGGGUCGUAAAACUCUUUUAUUGGGGAAGAAAAGAUGUAGAAUAAACUACGCACGUCUUGACGGUACCUAAACAGAAAGCCACGGCUAACUACGUG